This 538-nucleotide long non-coding RNA is filed under the name Homo sapiens (human). Its description in RNAcentral is "non-protein coding lnc-PIEZO2-18:1". The record is from RNAcentral. Lineage: Eukaryota; Metazoa; Chordata; Mammalia; Primates; Hominidae.
CCAUGGAAAGAGGAACACAUCUGCUCUUCAUGAGUUGAAUUGCUGCUCUUCGCUAAGCUAGCUGCGUGGUUGGUGGAACUGGUACCCAGAGACACUAGGAUGAUUCUGGAGGCCUGGGUUAUUUUCCUUCUUGAGAGCUUCUCCUGUACCUGCAGUUUCUCACGAUAAUCAGCUCACAAUAGUCCUUAUGCCAAAGAGGCAUGUGUGGAGGUGCCAUAUUCUGGUCUCCUACAACAUUCAGUAAUGGUCAAGAUGGUUGAUGCAGGAAACAGAUGGAGGGGCAGAAGUUGAUACUCAUCUCAUUAGAUCCAAAGAAGCCAAAUGGUGGCCAUCACCUGUGACAUGAAGAGGGUAUAUUUUAUGGAACUGGACAGCUUUCAGAAUCACAAGCAACCUCUUCAAAAUGUGAUCUACUGAAACGUGCUUGAAAGAGAGAAUAGGAGUGAGGCGGGCAAAGGAAGCAGAAGCCAUUGUGAACUGCCCUAGAGAAACCUUGGGCAUCUUUUUGUUGGGCAAAGUGGUAGAGGCUGAAACGGGG